This is a long non-coding RNA of Lutra lutra (Eurasian river otter), 529 nucleotides long. RefSeq lists it as uncharacterized. The transcript is spliced from 3 exons. Lineage: Eukaryota; Metazoa; Chordata; Mammalia; Carnivora; Mustelidae. The record is from RefSeq and is a predicted model, not a curated record.
UCUGUGGACGGUCAGAGGAGUCGCCCGCCCCGUCACCGUGGGGGAGCUCCAGGAGCUCCAUCUUCAUUCCCGUCUCGGGCUAGGACUCCUUGAACACUAGAGUUUUCUGCGCUCCCAGCAACCACGAGCGCCCGAGUGGCAUCACGCGGCCCCAAGGGCAAGACCUCUGUGGGCCCUGGGGUGCCAGAGCUCCGGCCUGCCCAGAAGAGCUGUGACAUGGGCGCCGCCAUCUUGCUGGCAGGACAGAAGGAAUGCUGGGACCGAGUCGUCGUACCCCAGACCGCUCAGAACCUGUCUCCUACCCGACCUGGGACACAGCAGUGCCCAUCUUAAAGUGUUGUAAUGAAGACAGAAUGAGUUAAUGUAUGUGAAGAACCGAAAACAGUUGUUGGCACGCAAUAAGUACUCAACAGGUAAUCAGCAUAUCAGCGCCCCAACUCUGGAAUUCUAGAAUAACUUUGAGUCAACGUGGGAAAUUUGGAGAAAAUGUUUGCAGCAAUGCCACAAACACACAUACAACUCAAUAUGC